GUCUGUAUGAACGCUAUAUAGAGUCUGGCCUGCCCACUGAUAUAAAUUAAAGGGCCGCGGUAUCUUGACCGUGCGAAGGUAGCAUAAUCAUUAGUCUUUUAAUUGAAGGCUUGUAUGAAUGGUUGGACAAAAAGUAAGCUGUCUCAUGUGUAUAAUUUGAAAUUAACUUUUAAGUGAAAAGGCUUAAAUAAUUUGGUGGGACGAUAAGACCCUAUAAAGCUUUACAGUGGUAGAAGUAUGUCAUAAUUUGUUAGUGUUACUUGGCUAAGUUUAAAGCUGUUUCGUUGGGGCGACGGAAAUAUAAUUGAAUAACUGUUUUUAAGUUAGCUAACAAUGCUAUUUGGGUAAAAUUGAUCCUUUAUUAAAGAUUAAAAGAUUAAGUUACUUUAGGGAUAACAGCGUAAUCUUCUUUGAGAGUCCAGAUCGACAAGAAGGGUUGCGACCUCGAUGUUGAAUUAAGAGUUCCUUGUGGUGUAGCAGUUGCAAAGGAAGGUCUGUUCGACCUUUAAAUUCUU
This 515-nucleotide ribosomal RNA is filed under the name Benthonectes filipes. RNAcentral's name for it is "partial large subunit ribosomal RNA". It matches the Rfam family "Bacterial large subunit ribosomal RNA", at positions 1829 to 2597 of the family's 2925-position model. The record is from RNAcentral. Lineage: Eukaryota; Metazoa; Arthropoda; Malacostraca; Decapoda; Benthesicymidae.